RNAcentral lists this long non-coding RNA (235 nucleotides) under Capsella rubella. RNAcentral's name for it is "long non-coding RNA (CRUB_LNC003989)". The record is from RNAcentral. Lineage: Eukaryota; Viridiplantae; Streptophyta; Magnoliopsida; Brassicales; Brassicaceae.
AAAAUUUUAAAACAUAGAUGAGAUACAAUUUAUUGCAUAGAUAACAUAAAAGAGAAUGAUAAAAAAGAAAAUAAAGACAAAAAAUAAAAAAAAUAAUUUUUUCUUAUAUUUAUCUCAACAUCCACUCACAGAGUGCCACGUAGGCGUCUCCUAACCAUUGUUUUGUAUCUUAGCUAUUUACCAACAUUUUGCAUUUAAUUAAAUCACAAAUUCUUGUAAGAUCUGCCUAAAAACC